GUUGCUAAGUUCAACUCUACCCAGUCCAUUUGCACAUUUUCAAGAUCACGCUCACGUUCGGAGUUGAGUAUUUGGUGUGGAGGCGCCGGUCUCGGUUUGGGGGAGCGUGGACAAGAUGCAUUGAGGCCAGUUAGAGCUCUCUGAAACCUAGCCCUGCUGUGGAAUGGAGAUUAGGAUCUUGUUGCACUGUGUUGGCUAAUAUCAACAAACAAGUAAUCAACCACUUCACCAGUGAGGUGUCAACGGGUCAAACUCCUGGCAUUUUGGUUGCACCCGGACCAAAUGGAUCACAUCAGUUAAAGAAGGGAGCUCACCAUCCACUAUUUUUUUAAUUAUUCCGCCACAGAUGUGGG
Molecule: long non-coding RNA, 353 nt
Organism: Stegostoma tigrinum
Lineage: Eukaryota; Metazoa; Chordata; Chondrichthyes; Orectolobiformes; Stegostomatidae
Exons: 3
Source: RefSeq, a predicted model, not a curated record